UUGUGCAACUAUUUUUUUCCAAGCCCGUAUCUGCAUGUUUAGUAGGAAGCAAUAUUUUAAACCAGUCUUCCACCACCCUCUGAAAGUGGGGCCAAAGCAAUGCAUGCUCUUAAGUGCAGGGAAGUCACAUCAGCAUCCCAGCAAUGCCACCAAACCCUAAGGUAGAUAAUAUUGAAAGCAAUGGCAAAAACCGCAAUUACGUUUGCACCAACCUAAUACUUGAGUCUUAGAAAUGGUUGGUUCUACCAUCAUAGUACAAAUAUCAUAGGGGUUAAUGGCCUUGCCAAAGAAGGUUGUGGGUUAUCAUCCAAUGAAAUCAGGCCAUUUUCCACUCAAAAUCUCAUUUUCUAUACUUGGCAAAUCAUACUCCCGUUAGUUUAUUCUUACACCUCACAUAAUCAUCAGAAGUUGAAUGCAUGUGAAAUUGCGUGAAGCACAAAUAAUUUAUUAAAAGAAACAGCUUAAACAGUCCUACUUAACUCCUGGUCAACGAAUGCAGGAGGCACUGAAGUAAAGAAGGCUUGCUAAACAGACGAAGGUGAAAUUGUGGUAAUAAACUCUCUUUCAACUCCGUCUGGAGUUCAUAUUCCUCUUUGGCAUUCCCUGAAGCUGAAUGACUGAGGAACUUCCUUCCUCUACUUUUCAUGUUUUCUUCUGAGGGCAAGUUGCACGCAUAAGAAAACUUCAGUGUCAGCUACCGCGCUACAUGGGAGGUCUCUGGGAUUAACCUCCCCGACUCUUCUGAGACCAAACUGGGUAAACCAGCACGAUCAUUUGACCAUGAUGACAAAAGGACUCUACCCAGCCUCCUUGGCAACUCUCUUUGAAUCAGUAAAGGAAUUAGAUUAUCUCCAGAAGCAAAGGAAAUGUAAAGAAAUGGACAGGUUACUUUCAGGAUUAAUUCCAGCUGAUCUUUCCGUUUGCUAAUUCACUAAGGAGAGGCUAAGCACCAGUAUUUUCCAUCUUCAUCACCUGCAGGUUGAUCCAUCAUUUGUUAUUCUUAUUACAAAAGGGCAUAUAUAAAAUUCAACUUAGUAAAAUAAUUUGGCAUUUGUUAUAAGACUAUUUCCUUGUCUAUGCCUUAGAAGAUCCUGGAACACAUGAGAGAUUUGUCAACUCGUUCAACUAACAUCGAUCAAGCUCCUACAAGACACCAGGCCACGUAUCGGGGAUAGAAAAUAGAAAGACAAAAUCUCUGUCCUAAAUAUACUAGGAUAAUAGGAUAAGGGGAAUGGGAGAAAAUUAAGGAGCCAAUUUUCCCGCAAUACAGUUAUUGCUACGAUAGGGAUUUGCAAAGCUGUCCUAUGGGAACAUACGGAGAGACACCUCACCUGGAUUCCGAAGGUGACAGAGAGGGUGGGAAGAGUGCAGAGAGGAAUUCUAGGAGUACGUGACACUUGUUCUAAUUCUUAGCAUAUGAGUAGUGAUUAGCUAGCUUGAGAAUAGGUGGGAUAGGGGCCUAAAUUCUAACAUAAUGCAUGUUUGUGGGCCUGGAGGGUACAAAGGGCACAGAACUGCAAAUACUUUGUUAUGUCUGGACCAAGACAGGAGGCUGGGAAGGCAGGCUGGGAUUCAAUCCAGAGAAACAAAUAAGAAUGGAGUCUCAUGCCCAUGAGUCUAGUAACCAACCCCAGUGAGAGGACCCACUUGAUCACUCAACUCGGCACCCAAUUUCUAGUCAGAGUGACUGGGUACAAAACAGAGGUCACGUGCAUGCUGCCAGAGAUUACCACCAUGUUCACCAGUUCCAGAACGAACCAGCUACAAAAGACAAAAUUGUUACUAUUUGAUGAAGAAACGGAAAAUUUUCACAGAACGUGGUGUUCUCUAUUUGGCUAUCACAGGGUAUCUGGUGAAACGUUUCUUGCUAGAAAAAGAUAUAAACAUAACCACAGGCUGAGAAACAGGCCCCUGGGUCAGACUAUGGGCCCCUGGGUCAGACUAUGAGCCACUGAGGCAGGGGGGGUUCUAUCUCUGAGAAAAGGGAACCAGCAUGAUUUUGUGUGACAGUAUGACAGUGUCCCAUCGUUAGUUUCAGGGUUAUAUUCAGCUAUUAAGGAUCUGGUUCCAUUUUUUUAAGUUCACAUAGUGAUUUACGUUUUCAACGAGACUAACUUAAAGUUCCAUAAAUAAUUAAAACAUAUAUAGUCUAACACACAAACCUUUCUUCAUAUAUCAUAGACUACUUUGUCCAUAAGGAUAUUUCUUUUCUUUUCUUUUUUUUUUGAGACAGG
Molecule: long non-coding RNA, 2234 nt
Filed under: Homo sapiens (human)
Lineage: Eukaryota; Metazoa; Chordata; Mammalia; Primates; Hominidae
Description: HSALNT0358062
Source: RNAcentral